CCGGUCUUCCCUGUUUAGCAUGUCAGUGUAAAGGUGGCCAUUGUCAGUGGCUCAGAGCUGGCGAAAUCCUCUUUUAAAGCAACUCAAACGACACCGUUCUUAACACUCACGAUGCUUUCCGCCUGUUUUUGAUAUAGCUCUCUACUGUGGACACGGUUAAAACGCCAUCUUCUUCUAAAAUUUUGCCUCCCAAAUCUGAAAAGGG
RNAcentral lists this unclassified non-coding RNA (205 nucleotides) under Hevea brasiliensis (rubber tree). Lineage: Eukaryota; Viridiplantae; Streptophyta; Magnoliopsida; Malpighiales; Euphorbiaceae. The record is from RNAcentral.